Molecule: ribosomal RNA, 463 nt
Filed under: Vreelandella stevensii
Lineage: Bacteria; Pseudomonadati; Pseudomonadota; Gammaproteobacteria; Oceanospirillales; Halomonadaceae
Description: partial 16S ribosomal RNA
Rfam family: Bacterial small subunit ribosomal RNA
Source: RNAcentral
CCUACGGGGCUGCAGUGGGGAAUAUUGGACAAUGGGCGAAAGCCUGAUCCAGCCAUGCCGCGUGUGUGAAGAAGGCCUUCGGGUUGUAAAGCACUUUCAGUGGGGAAGAAAGCCUUGGGGCUAAUACCCUCGAGGAAGGACAUCACCCACAGAAGAAGCACCGGCUAACUCCGUGCCAGCAGCCGCGGUAAUACGGAGGGUGCGAGCGUUAAUCGGAAUUACUGGGCGUAAAGCGCGCGUAGGCGGUCUGAUAAGCCGGUUGUGAAAGCCCCGGGCUCAACCUGGGAACGGCAUCCGGAACUGUCAGGAUAGAGUGCAGGAGAGGAAGGUAGAAUUCCCGGUGUAGCGGUGAAAUGCGUAGAGAUCGGGAGGAAUACCAGUGGCGAAGGCGGUCUUCUGGACUGACACUGACGCUGAGGUGCGAAAGCGUGGGUAGCAAACAGGAUUAGAUACCCCAGUAGUC